GACGAACGCUGGCGGCGUGCUUAACACAUGCAAGUCGAACGGAACGGCCCUGCUUUUGUGGGCUGCGCUAGUGGCCAACGGGUGAGUAGCCCGUGAGUACCGUGUCCCUGACUUUGGGAUAACUUCAGGCAACUUGGGCUCAUAGCGCCUAGGAGUUCCUGCUGCUUGGUGGGGGUUGGAUAGUUUCGGUGGUUGGGGAUGGACUCGCGGCGUAUGAGCUUGUUGGUGGGGUAGUGGCUUACCAAGGCUUUGACGGGUAGCAGGGCUGCGAGGCUGAGCGGCCAAAUUGGGACUGAGAUGCGGCCCAGACCCGUACGGUACGCAGGGGAGGAGAAUAGUAUACAAUGGGCGGAAGCCUAAUCUAGCAACGCCGCGUGCGGGAUGACGGCAUGCGGGUUGUAUUCCACUUUCGCCUUAGACGAAGCGUGAGUGACGGUAAUGGGUAAAGAAGCACCGGCUAACUACGUG
This 468-nucleotide ribosomal RNA is filed under the name uncultured bacterium. RNAcentral describes it as "partial 16S ribosomal RNA". It matches the Rfam family "Bacterial small subunit ribosomal RNA", at positions 28 to 507 of the family's 1533-position model. The record is from RNAcentral.